UUAUAGGGACUAAAUGUUGACAUUUUUAAAAGCGAGGACUAAACUGAACAUCAGAACUUAACUUAGGGACCAAAAAAGGGUUUAAACAAAAAGAAAAUAGGAAAAUAGAACUGGGAAGAAAAACGAGAAAGAAAAUUAUCAAUACAUAUAAAACACAAAACCUCAUGAGAGCUCACUGCCCGAAACCUAAAAACAUGAAAUGAGAAAAUGAAAAAGUGUGUCUAGGUCUGCCCCCCUUUGGCAGACAUAACUAGGGCAGAAUCCACAAGUGGGCCUCUCCCAAAAAUGCCAAAAAAUGGCCCAAUGUGCUAAAUCUGUCCAAAAAUGCCCUAAAAACGAAAUUACAUUUUAAAUUAAAUUAAAAUGCCUAUUUGAAGAGUGGUUGUUGAUGUUUUUUCCCUCUUGAAGUC
RNAcentral lists this long non-coding RNA (410 nucleotides) under Vigna radiata. RNAcentral describes it as "long non-coding RNA (VRAD_LNC009698)". The record is from RNAcentral. Lineage: Eukaryota; Viridiplantae; Streptophyta; Magnoliopsida; Fabales; Fabaceae.